ACCAUCCAGUUGCCUUACCCAUCAGAUCUGAACACUGGUCGGAGUAGCCAUGGAGGGAGGAAGAGAAACGCGGAAACCGGCUUCACUAAAGCUAGGAGUUGCAAAGAGCUGUAAAGAACAUGG
This 123-nucleotide small nucleolar RNA is filed under the name Echinops telfairi (small Madagascar hedgehog). RNAcentral's name for it is "Small nucleolar RNA SNORA61 (ENSETEG00000026170.1)". Lineage: Eukaryota; Metazoa; Chordata; Mammalia; Afrosoricida; Tenrecidae. The record is from RNAcentral.